Alligator sinensis (Chinese alligator) is the source of this 280-nucleotide long non-coding RNA. RefSeq lists it as uncharacterized. Lineage: Eukaryota; Metazoa; Chordata; Crocodylia; Alligatoridae. The record is from RefSeq and is a predicted model, not a curated record. The transcript has 3 exons.
AAAAGGAGACUUAACUUUUCAGGAAUUUCAUCCAGUUACAAAGGUCUCAUCUGUGCACAUUCCCAGGAAGGAUGCUGUGGAUGAAUACAUAAUGAAUGCAACUAGUCUUUUUGUUUCCCUAAGCAGCAUCGCAGGUCCAGCAUUUGGAUGUGGGAGAGAGGCUGUAGGGGCCAGUAGGGAUGCCAUUGCCCACCACCAGGGCACUCUGAAUGCACCAGCUGCACCAGAGGUGCACCAUGGACAGGACCAUCCUCCUCCAGUGGCUGGUAGCAGUGGCCAA